UUGCACGCUGGCGGCAUGCCUUACACAUGCAAGUCGAACGGCAGCACGGGUGCUUGCACCUGGUGGCGAGUGGCGAACGGGUGAGUAAUACAUCGGAACAUGUCCUGUAGUGGGGGAUAGCCCGGCUAAAGCCGGAUUAAUACCGCAUACGAUCUACGGAUGAAAGCGGGGGACCUUCGGGCCUCGCGCUUUAGGGUUGGCCGAUGGCUGAUUAGCUAGUUGGUGGGGUAAAGGCCUACCAAGGCGACGAUCAGUAGCUGGUCUGAGAGGACGACCAGCCACACUGGGACUGAGACACGGCCCAGACUCCUACGGGAGGCAGCAGUGGGGAAUUUUGGACAAUGGGCGAAAGCCUGAUCCAGCAAUGCCGCGUGUGUGAAGAAGGCCUUCGGGUUGUAAAGCACUUUUGUCCGGAAAGAAAUCCUUGGCCCUAAUACGGUCGGGGGAUGACGGUACCGGAAGAAUAAGCACCGGCUAACUACGUG
Molecule: ribosomal RNA, 485 nt
Filed under: uncultured bacterium
Lineage: Bacteria
Description: partial 16S ribosomal RNA
Rfam family: Bacterial small subunit ribosomal RNA
Source: RNAcentral